Long non-coding RNA from Triticum dicoccoides, 321 nucleotides. RefSeq lists it as uncharacterized. NCBI's taxonomy places the organism in Eukaryota, Viridiplantae, Streptophyta, Magnoliopsida, Poales, Poaceae. The transcript is spliced from 3 exons. The record is from RefSeq and is a predicted model, not a curated record.
CCUUCAUCGGACAUAGACAUUUGUCCAUCUUCUGUCAGCAAGUUAAUGGCUAAGCCGAACGGAAAAAAGGGUGCAACAGUUGAUAAGGAUGAGGAAGUUAUGUCCGUUGUUUCAUUUGUCGAGUUAGCUUCUAGCACCGACAAGAAUAAGGGGAAGAAAGUUUACUACAGUGAAGCUCGUGGCAUAUCUUUGACAUCCGAAAGGAUUCGACCGGUACUAAGUCAUAGAUGGCUGUCGGACGAUAUUAUUGAUGCUUAUAUGGGACAUUUGGAGCUGAGCGUUGGUCAUGAUCGUUACCUCUGUCCAGCGUGGAGGUCCAAA